This 296-nucleotide RNase P RNA is filed under the name Candidatus Woesearchaeota archaeon. RNAcentral's name for it is "RNase P RNA component". It matches the Rfam family "Archaeal RNase P". From Rfam's summary of the family: Ribonuclease P (RNase P) is a ubiquitous endoribonuclease, found in archaea, bacteria and eukarya as well as chloroplasts and mitochondria. Lineage: Archaea; Nanobdellati; Candidatus Woesearchaeota. The record is from RNAcentral.
GUAGGAUGGCAUUUAGCUUUCGCUUAAUUGUGAGGAAAGUCCGCCCACAGUAAAUAUCACUCUCAUUUUGAGAGAUCCUGAAAAGGAUGGCUACGGCUCAGAAACGAAACCACCUAACAAAUGGAAUGAUGAGGCGAAUCAAUAGGUGACUGUUGAGAGUUAACCCUCUGACGACUUUUUGGGAAGGGUUGAAACGGCAAGUCCUGAUUUGUGCAAGUCGAAUGACGCUUAGUAGAAUGCUAAAACAAACCUUCCAUUAAUGGGGUUUGACAAAAGGCGGCUUAUAACCAUUCUAC